AACUACUGCUGGGUAAACCACAUCUAACUCAUUAUAGCCACAUUGAAAGAAAACUGUGUGCUUUUCUUUAAUUUGUUAUCAUCUACACACUUCAGUCCGUUUGUGAACUGUCACUUUUUUAUCAUCCAGGAUAUGGAAAUCUAGGAGGUGGCGGCCUGGGGCCUGGAGGCUAUGGAGGAGGUGGCUAUGGGGGCUACUAUCCGGGAGCUGGAUCAAAGGCUGCUAAAAGCGGGGUUGGAGGAGGAGGAGGUCCUGGAGUCACUGGAACUGGACCUGGACUGCCUGGUGGAGGCAAGGCACACACCUAAUAUCAUUUUCCACCUUUUCUAAUUUUUUUUCAUUUUAUUUUAGCUCUGAUUUCUC
This is a long non-coding RNA of Astatotilapia calliptera (eastern happy), 363 nucleotides long. Lineage: Eukaryota; Metazoa; Chordata; Actinopteri; Cichliformes; Cichlidae. The record is from Ensembl.